ACGGCUCAGUAACACGUAGCUAACCUACCCUUAAGUCAAGGAUACCCUCGGGAAACUGAGGCUAAAACUUGAUAGGAGAUUUACCCUGGAAAGAUUUAUCUCUCAAACUCGCGCUUAAGGAUGGGGCUGCGGCGGAUUAGGUUGUUGGCGGGGUAAUAGCCCACCAAGCCUGUGAUCCGUAAGGGCUCUUAGCGGAGAGGCCCUGAGAGGGAAUCUGAGACACUAUUCCCAGCCCUACGGGGUGCAGCAGUUAGGAAUAUUCUGCAAUGCGCGAAAGCGUGACAGAUUGAGCCAGAGUGCUUUUCUAUUUGAAAAGCUUUUGCCAAAUCUAAAAAGUUUGGCGAAUAAGGACUGGGUAAGACGAGCGCCAGCCGCCGCGGUAAUACUCGCGGUCCAAGUCACAGCCAUAUUUAUUGGGUCUAAAACAUCCGUAGCUUGCUUAAUAAGUUUCUUGUGAAAUUUUAUCUCUCAAGGAUAAAGCGCGCAUGAAGUACUGUUGAGCUAGAGACUGGAAGACGUGAGAAGUACGAUUAAAGUAGCGGUAAAAUGUGUUAAUCUUAAUCGGACUCACAAUAGCGAAGGCAUCUCACGAGGACAGUUCUGACAGUAAGGGAUGAAGGCUGGGGGCGCAAAGUGGAUUAGAUACCCAUGUAGUCCCAGCAGUAAACACUGCGCACUAAACAUUAGUACCUCCUCGAGAGGUAUUGGUGCUGAAGCGAAGGCGAAGAGUGCGCUACCUGGGAAGUAUAGCCGCAAGGCCGAAACUUAAAGGAAUUGGSGGGGGAGCAC
Molecule: ribosomal RNA, 789 nt
Filed under: uncultured archaeon
Lineage: Archaea
Description: bacterial SSU rRNA
Rfam family: Archaeal small subunit ribosomal RNA
Source: RNAcentral